This is a long non-coding RNA of Diceros bicornis minor, 1680 nucleotides long. RefSeq lists it as uncharacterized. NCBI's taxonomy places the organism in Eukaryota, Metazoa, Chordata, Mammalia, Perissodactyla, Rhinocerotidae. The record is from RefSeq and is a predicted model, not a curated record. The transcript is spliced from 3 exons.
ACCAGGUCUGGGAAGACCCUGGGAGGAGGCCCAUGGGCUGAGACCUGAAGCCACGUGCCUGUCAGGCAGAGAGUGGCCUGGACAGAGCCUGGACAGGAUGAGCUGAAGAGUGAAAGGCCAGGCGGCUGGAACGUGGGUCCAGGGAGUGGACAGAGGGGCGGGAUCGGUGAGGGGUGUCAGGACGCCCCGGAGGGCUGUGAGCCACUCUCUCGGCCGCCCCAGCACCUGGCUGUUCCGGCCUGGGCCUCGUGCUGGGCCCACUGGUUCUUUCAACGUGGUGCCCCACCCCAUCUGUCCAGCCAGAGUGUCAGCCCUUGACGGUCAAGGACGUGGCCCUGGAUCUGGGGACACCAGCACCUUGCACCACACAGGCUGCACGGGGCGGGAGGGGCCGAGCAUGCUGCCCCAGGACCCCCCACCUCACCCCUGGCUAGUCUGUGGUCCAGGAGUGCAAGCCUCUGGGGCCUCAGAGGGGCAGGCUGCGAAGGGCCACCCUGCCCGCAGGCCUCACCUCAGGAGGGGAGGGCGCAUUUCCACCACUUCCUCUGGCUUUUGCCGAAGUUGCUUCUAGAGACACUGCCCCUCUGCUCCUGUCUACAUCAGGGAAGAGCAGGCCGCGCAGCCCCCCAGGGAGGGCUCAUCCUCUCAGCUUUCCAGAAAGCUCUGGGAGUGAAUGUGAAGGCGGCUGACUCCCAGCAGCCCCUUCCUUGGGCAGCUUGGCCAGUUCUGAUGAAGGAAACCUGGCCCUGAUUGAGGGGCCCCUUGCCCCCAGGACUGCUUCCAGAUGUGCUGCCAUCCCAGUAGCUCCUCCCUUGGGGGCCCCAGUGCACGUGGCCACCUCACCAGCUGGACGCCCGCCCUCCCGGGACCCCUUAGUCAGGCUCACCCCUCCCUCACCCCCGGAGUCGGCUGGGUCUCCGUUUCGGGGGUCUGCAUCUCUGGCUGGGCCACGGCCCCAGGGACCACACGGACCCCGCUGGGCCACGGCUGGGAGCGCCUUACACCAGCUCCUUAGAGGGCAGAGUCCUGCACGUGGCCUCCUGGGCCAGGCUGUGGACCUCCGUCCCGGGGGACCCCCUUCUCGACUUGCAAGGGGCUGACCUGAGACCGGGUGGCGGGGUGGGCGAGGCCCUGUGACCCUCCAGGCCCAUCAAAAUGUCAGCAUCACUUGGAGACGGCAUUUCCUGGUUCUUUCUUGCCUCAGCGUCUCACCUUUGCGGCUGGUAGAAACACACUUGUAAAAGGAGGGCUGGAGGUGAGUCUGCGGGUGGCACGGCCAGCGCUCCCAGGAAGCCGAUGCAGCCGCUGUCUCCCUCUGACCAGGUGGCGGGGGGUCGGGGGGGGGGAGGGCGGGAUUGGAGGCAGUGUGGUAACCCCUCCGGGCCCAGCCUCCGUCCCUCCGUCUGCAGGACCCAGGGACCUGGGCCUGCCUUGCAGGGCAGAGCGGGACCCAGCGGCCCCUCAGGGCUCAGGGUGCGCUGUCCACCCCGUCUGAGGAUGGAUUUAGAGCGAUCGCCACCCCCCAGACCCUUUCUGGCUGACCAGGGUGGAGCCUGUUCUAGGGGCACCUCUGGUUGGGGGAGGAAGCAGAGAGGUCAUUUUAAACUCUCGGAGUAAACUUCUCAGUAGGACGGACAAGACUUAGAGGAGUGCUGGAGGGCUUACUGCAGAGCCGACUGA